Molecule: ribosomal RNA, 852 nt
Filed under: Klebsiella michiganensis
Lineage: Bacteria; Pseudomonadati; Pseudomonadota; Gammaproteobacteria; Enterobacterales; Enterobacteriaceae
Description: bacterial SSU rRNA
Rfam family: Bacterial small subunit ribosomal RNA
Source: RNAcentral
UCAUGUUAAUAGGGUGGGAUGCAAGCUUUUAUUUUUAUUUUUGGGAAGUAAACCCCACGCAGUGUGUUUUGUUAAGUUGGAAGAGAAAUCCCCGCGCUCCACGGGGGGACCUUCAUUAGAAACUGGCAGGCUUGAGUCUAGUAGAGGGGGGUAGAACUUCCAGGUGUAGCGGUAAAAUGCGUAGAUAUGUGGAGGAACACCGGUGGAGAAGGCGGCCUCUUGGACAAAGACUGACGCUCAGGUGAGAAAGCGUGGGGAGCAAACAGGAUUAGAUCCCCUGGUAUUCCCCGCCGUAAACGAUGUCGACUAGGAGGUUGCGCCCUUGAGGCGUGGCUUCCGGAGCUAACGCAUUAAGUCGUCCGCCUGGGGAGUACGGCCGCAAGGUUAAAACUCAAAUGAAUUGACGGGGGCCCGCACAAGCGGUGGAGCAUGUGGUUUAAUUCGAUGCAACGCGAAGAACCUUACCUACUCUUGACAUCCAGAGAACUUAGCAGAGAUGGUUUGGUGCCUUCGGGAACUAUGAGACAGGUGCUGCAUGGCUGUUGUCAGCUCGUGUUGUGAAAUGUUGGGUUAAGUCCCGCAACGAGCGCAACCCUUAUCCUUUGUUGCCAGCGGUUAGGCCGGGAACUCAAAGGAGACUGCCAGUGAUAAACUGGAGGAAGGUGGGGAUGACGUCAAGUCAUCAUGGCCCUUACGAGUAGGGCUACACACGUGCUACAAUGGCAUAUACAAAGAGAAGCGACCUCGCGAGAGCAAGCGGACCUCAUAAAGUAUGUCGUAGUCCGGAUUGGAGUCUGCAACUCGACUCCAUGAAGUCGGAAUCGCUAGUAAUCGUGGAUCAGAAUGCCACGG